Papilio machaon (common yellow swallowtail) is the source of this 372-nucleotide long non-coding RNA. RefSeq lists it as uncharacterized. The transcript is spliced from 2 exons. The record is from RefSeq and is a predicted model, not a curated record. NCBI's taxonomy places the organism in Eukaryota, Metazoa, Arthropoda, Insecta, Lepidoptera, Papilionidae.
UCCUUUUCAUGAAAGAAGUCCCGCGGUAAUUUUUGGAACUAAAUUUGACAGGUCGGCCAUGUUGUCGUUCGUCAAUGUUAUCAAGUUCGUUUGUUGUGGUAGAUUUUUGUGAGUUUUUAACUAGCUUAGUGCAUUUUAAAGAUUGUUUACAAUGCCAAAAGUUGUGAAAAGUUCGGCUAGAGAAAUGAUAUUGAAGGUGAAAGAGUUCUGUGAAGCGGAACAAAAGAAUCAAGGUGUUUUAAUAUCACUAAACAAUGUUCGGAAGAGAGUCGCCGCCUUAACAGGUGUGUCAGAGAAAACUGUAACAAGAAUUACAAAAGAAGGUAUAACAGCGGCGAGUACUUCGAAAAAAAUUGUCACCCCAGGGAAGAA